CGUAGGGUGCAAGCGUUGUCCGGAAUUACUGGGUGUAAAGGGAGCGCAGGCGGACCGGCAAGUUGGAAGUGAAAACUAUGGGCUCAACCCAUAAAUUGCUUUCAAAACUGCUGGCCUUGAGUAGUGCAGAGGUAGGUGGAAUUCCCGGUGUAGCGGUGGAAUGCGUAGAUAUCGGGAGGAACACCAGUGGCGAAGGCGACCUACUGGGCACCAACUGACGCUGAGGCUCGAAAGCAUGGGUAGCAAACAGGAUU
This 254-nucleotide ribosomal RNA is filed under the name uncultured bacterium. Its description in RNAcentral is "partial 16S ribosomal RNA". It matches the Rfam family "Bacterial small subunit ribosomal RNA", at positions 526 to 779 of the family's 1533-position model. The record is from RNAcentral.